This 29-nucleotide non-coding RNA is filed under the name Homo sapiens (human). The record is from RNAcentral. Lineage: Eukaryota; Metazoa; Chordata; Mammalia; Primates; Hominidae.
CGUCCGUGAAGAUGGUGGUCUUGUGGCGC